GGGGUUGUGGCUCAGAGGUAGAGCACUUGCCUAGCAUGUGUGAGGCCCUGGGUUCCAUACUCAGCACCUCA
This 71-nucleotide transfer RNA is filed under the name Marmota monax (woodchuck). It matches the Rfam family "tRNA". From Rfam's summary of the family: Transfer RNA (tRNA) molecules are approximately 80 nucleotides in length. Their secondary structure includes four short double-helical elements and three loops (D, anti-codon, and T loops). Further hydrogen bonds mediate the characteristic L-shaped molecular structure. tRNAs have two regions of fundamental functional importance: the anti-codon, which is responsible for specific mRNA codon recognition, and the 3' end, to which the tRNAs corresponding amino acid is attached (by aminoacyl-tRNA synthetases). tRNAs cope with the degeneracy of the genetic code in two manners: having more than one tRNA (with a specific anti-codon) for a particular amino acid; and 'wobble' base-pairing, i.e. permitting non-standard base-pairing at the 3rd anti-codon position. The record is from Rfam by way of RNAcentral. Lineage: Eukaryota; Metazoa; Chordata; Mammalia; Rodentia; Sciuridae.